This 220-nucleotide long non-coding RNA is filed under the name Elaeis guineensis (African oil palm). Its description in RNAcentral is "long non-coding RNA (EGUI_LNC008516)". The record is from RNAcentral. Lineage: Eukaryota; Viridiplantae; Streptophyta; Magnoliopsida; Arecales; Arecaceae.
CAUCUGUGAACUUAAUUGAGCAAGCAGUGAAUGUCAUUGGAUCUGAGAGAUCCAAAGUUGAGAUAAAUCUUAAGUAUAUGUGAAACCUUAGGCUAAGUCAUAUAAGAAAAGAAAUGAUUAACAGACUAGAGAAAUAUGGACUUUUGGGCUCAUUGACUGUUGAGUCAUAUCUAAUUUGUGCAUCAUCUCUUUAAAGAAAAAUGACGAAGCUACUCUUGUG